UACGGAGGUGCGAGCGUUGUCCGGAAUCACUGGGCGUAAAGGGCGCGUAGGCGGCCUGAUAAGUAGGGGUGAAAUCCUGCGGCUUAACCGCAGGGCUGCCUUCUAAACUGUCAGGCUUGAGCACAGUAGAGGCAGGUGGAAUUCCCGGUGUAGCGGUGGAAUGCGUAGAGAUCGGGAAGAACAUCAGUGGCGAAGGCGGCCUGCUGGGCUGUUGCUGACGCUGAGGCGCGACAGCGUGGGGAGCAAACAGG
This 251-nucleotide ribosomal RNA is filed under the name uncultured bacterium. RNAcentral describes it as "partial 16S ribosomal RNA". It matches the Rfam family "Bacterial small subunit ribosomal RNA", at positions 524 to 776 of the family's 1533-position model. The record is from RNAcentral.